Molecule: ribosomal RNA, 425 nt
Filed under: uncultured bacterium
Lineage: Bacteria
Description: partial 16S ribosomal RNA
Rfam family: Bacterial small subunit ribosomal RNA
Source: RNAcentral
GUGGGGAAUCUUGCGCAAUGGGCGAAAGCCUGACGCAGCCAUGCCGCGUGAAUGAUGAAGGUCUUAGGAUUGUAAAAUUCUUUCACCGGGGACGAUAAUGACGGUACCCGGAGAAGAAGCCCCGGCUAACUUCGUGCCAGCAGCCGCGGUAAUACGAAGGGGGCUAGCGUUGCUCGGAAUUACUGGGCGUAAAGGGCGCGUAGGCGGACAGUUUAGUCAGAGGUGAAAGCCCAGGGCUCAACCUUGGAAUUGCCUUUGAUACUGGCUGUCUUGAGUACGGGAGAGGUGAGUGGAACUCCGAGUGUAGAGGUGAAAUUCGUAGAUAUUCGGAAGAACACCAGUGGCGAAGGCGACUCACUGGCCCAAUACUGACGCUGAGGCGCGAAAGCGUGGGGAGCAAACAGGAUUAGAAACCCGGGUAGUCC